Non-coding RNA from Pelobates cultripes (western spadefoot toad), 679 nucleotides. NCBI's taxonomy places the organism in Eukaryota, Metazoa, Chordata, Amphibia, Anura, Pelobatidae. The record is from the annotation of a GenBank genome assembly.
GUUUGUUCAAUUUCUAUAAGAUUUAAAUUGAUGCAGCAUCAUCUCAGAUUAGUUAAUGGUAGUUUUAUACAAAUAGUUGAGUUAUGAGCGCGCUAUAUAAAUGGAUCCUUUCUUUAAAUAUAAUACUAUAGUAGAUUAAAGUAAUGAAGUUAAUUAAGAAAAUGUAUACAUAAGAAUCCCUAAAAUAAAUCUAAACUAAAAUUGGUAUACCUUCCAAUAAUAUGUUCUGAAUACAGCUGUUAACUGUUUAUUUUGUGUAAAUGGUGAUUGUGAUAAUGUGUGAUAAGUGUGCAGUUUAAUUUGAAAGUGGUUUAAUUUAUAUGUUGCUGUAUUGUUUUAAAUUAUAUGUGAAUCAGUUUGUCACAGUCUAGUGAUACUGAUAAGAAUGACAGCCAAAUAACCUAGCAAAUAACUGUUUUAUUAGUUGUUGAAUACUAGCGUUUUGGCCAAGAAUAGUUGGAGAUUUGGAGGUGUUAGUUUAAGAUUGCUUUUAUAUUGUGUGUAUCCGUGUUUCCUAGGAGGGAGACAGAGUGUGUAGUUGUGUGCCCAUAAAUGUGAUUUCUGUAUUGGCAUAUCUGCUGGGUACCCAUUAUGUGUUUCUACAAAGAUAUUGCUUUGUGAGAUGACGUGUAAUAUUACAUGGGAUGCUGAGUAUGAGUUAUAUGGUUUGAAAUGAAUU